GACGAACGCUGGCGGCGUGCUUAACACAUGCAAGUCGAACGGAAAGGCCCUGCUUUUGUGGGGUGCUCGAGUGGCGAACGGGUGAGUAACACGUGAGUAACCUGCCCUUGACUUUGGGAUAACUUCAGGAAACUGGGGCUAAUACCGGAUAGGAGCUCCUGCUGCAUGGUGGGGGUUGGAAAGUUUCGGCGGUUGGGGAUGGUCUCGCGGCUUAUCAGCUGGUUGGUGGGGUAGUGGCUUACCAAGGCUUUGACGGGUAGCCGGCCUGAGAGGGUUGCCGGCCACCUUGGGACUGCGGUACGGCCCAGACUCCUACGGGCGGCAGCAGUCGGGAAUAUUGCGCAAUGGGCGGAAGCCUGAUGCAGCAACGCCGCGUGCGGGAUGACGGCCUUCGGGUUGUAAACCGCUUUCGCCUGUGACGAAGCGUGAGUGACGGUAAUGGGUAAAGAAGCACCGGCUAACUACGUG
This 468-nucleotide ribosomal RNA is filed under the name uncultured bacterium. RNAcentral's name for it is "partial 16S ribosomal RNA". It matches the Rfam family "Bacterial small subunit ribosomal RNA", at positions 28 to 507 of the family's 1533-position model. The record is from RNAcentral.